This 570-nucleotide ribosomal RNA is filed under the name Margalefidinium fulvescens. RNAcentral's name for it is "partial large subunit ribosomal RNA". It matches the Rfam family "Eukaryotic large subunit ribosomal RNA", at positions 99 to 657 of the family's 3401-position model. Lineage: Eukaryota; Dinophyceae; Gymnodiniales; Gymnodiniaceae. The record is from RNAcentral.
CGGAGCACGCUCAGAGUGGAAAUCAAGGCCCGAGGCCUUGAAUUGUAAUUUGUAACUGCGUUGCCAACGCGGGCGCAAAUAUAAGUCGCUUGGAAGAGCGCACCACAGAGGGUGAGAGUCCCGUCUAUAAUUUGCAGCCUCGUGUGUACGGCACGCUGUGCAGAGUCACGUUCCUUGGGAAUGGAGCGCAAAGUGGGUGGUAAAUUUCAUCUCAAGCUAAAUAUGAAUUUGAGACCGAUAGCAAACAAGUACCAUGAGGGAAAGGUGAAAAGUACUUUGAAAAGAGAGUUAAAAGUGCCUGAAAUUGCUGGAAGGGAAGCGAAAGGAACCAGCCUGCAUGGUAAGAUUGUCGUGUGAGCUUCUAAAGCCGCACAAUGCAUCUGGCCAUGGCAAUCGUCGGUGGUUGUCGGCCGAGGAUACAAGCAGCUCUUCCCAGCUUCUUUCGAGAUUGCGGAAGCGUUGCUUAAACCCGCUUGGCGACCAUUUCCCUAUCUGGAGUUGAUGUAAGUUUCGCGCUUGCAUUCAACCCGGAUGCUCGACGAUCAAAUGGUUCUUCUCGACCCGUCUUGA